RNAcentral lists this ribosomal RNA (468 nucleotides) under uncultured bacterium. RNAcentral's name for it is "partial 16S ribosomal RNA". It matches the Rfam family "Bacterial small subunit ribosomal RNA", at positions 28 to 507 of the family's 1533-position model. The record is from RNAcentral.
GACGAACGCUGGCGGCGUGCUUAACACAUGCAAGUCGAACGGAAAGGCCCUGCUUUUGUGGGGUGCUCGAGUGGCGAACAGGUGAGUAACACGUGAGUAACCUUCCCUUGACUUUGGGAUAACUUCAGGAAACUGGGGCUAAUACCGGAUAGGAGCUCCUGCUGCAUGGUGGGGGUUGGAAAGUUUCGGCGGUUGGGGAUGGACUCGCGGCUUAUCAGCUUGUUGGUGGGGUAGUGGCUUACCAAGGCUUUGACGGGUAGCCGGCCUGAGAGGGUGACCGGCCACAUUGGGACUGAGAUACGGACCAGACUGCUACGGGAGGCAGCAGUGGGGAAUAUUGCACAAUGGGCGGAAGCCUGAUGAAGCAACGCCGCGUGCGGGAUGAAGGCCUUCGGGUUGUAAACCGCUUUCGCCUGUGACGAAGCGUGAGUGACGGUAAUGGGUAAAGAAGCACCGGCUAACUACGUG